GACAGAGGGUGCAAACGUUGCUCGGAAUUACUGGGCGUAAAGCGCAUGUAGGCGGCUUUGUAAGUCGGAUGUGAAAGCCCUCGGCUUAACCGAGGAAGUGCAUUCGAUACUGCAGAACUAGAGUAUCGGAGAGGGUCGUGGAAUUCCUGGUGUAGAGGUGAAAUUCGUAGAUAUCAGGAGGAACACCGGCGGCGAAGGCGGCGACCUGGACGAAUACUGACGCUCAGAUGCGAAAGCGUGGGUAGCAAACAGG
This 253-nucleotide ribosomal RNA is filed under the name uncultured bacterium. Its description in RNAcentral is "partial 16S ribosomal RNA". It matches the Rfam family "Bacterial small subunit ribosomal RNA", at positions 524 to 776 of the family's 1533-position model. The record is from RNAcentral.